Triticum aestivum (bread wheat) is the source of this 135-nucleotide non-coding RNA. The record is from Rfam. Lineage: Eukaryota; Viridiplantae; Streptophyta; Magnoliopsida; Poales; Poaceae.
UUUGUACUCCCUCCGUCCCAAAAUUCUUGUCUUAAAUUUGUCUAAAUACGGAUGUAUCUAGUUACAUUUUAGUGUUAGAUACAUCUGUAUCUAAACAAAUGUAAGACAAGAAUUUUGGGACGGAGGGAGUACUAC